GCCCCCAUAGCUCAGGGGAUAGAGCAAGGGUUUCCUAAACCCUGUGUCGCAGGUUCGAAUCCUGCUGGGGGCGCGA
Molecule: transfer RNA, 76 nt
Filed under: Microlunatus phosphovorus NM-1
Lineage: Bacteria; Bacillati; Actinomycetota; Actinomycetes; Propionibacteriales; Propionibacteriaceae
Description: tRNA-Arg
Rfam family: tRNA
About the family: Transfer RNA (tRNA) molecules are approximately 80 nucleotides in length. Their secondary structure includes four short double-helical elements and three loops (D, anti-codon, and T loops).
Source: RNAcentral